RNAcentral lists this ribosomal RNA (401 nucleotides) under uncultured Gemmatimonadota bacterium. RNAcentral's name for it is "bacterial SSU rRNA". It matches the Rfam family "Bacterial small subunit ribosomal RNA", at positions 9 to 412 of the family's 1533-position model. The record is from RNAcentral. Lineage: Bacteria; Pseudomonadati; Gemmatimonadota.
GAGUUUGAUCGUGGCUCAGGACGAACGCUGGCGGCGUGCCUAACACAUGCAAGUUGUACGGGCUUGGGGGCAACUCCAAGUCAGUGGCGAACGGGUGCGUAACACGUGAGGAAUCUAACAUUCGGCGGGGGAUAGCCGGCCCAACGGCCGGGUAAUACCGCGUACGCUCUUCGAGGGGCAUCUCUUGAGGAGGAAAGCAGCAAUGCACCGAAUGGGGAUCUCGCGGCCUAUCAGCUAGUUGGUGAGGUCACGGCUCACCAAGGCGACGGCGGGUAGCUGGUCUGAGAGGAUGGCCAGCCACAUUGGGACUGAGACACGGCCCAGACUCCUACGGGAGGCAGCAGUGGGGAAUCUUGCGCAAUGGCGAAAGCCUGACGCAGCGACGCCGCGUGCGGGAUGAA